RNAcentral lists this ribosomal RNA (271 nucleotides) under uncultured soil bacterium. RNAcentral describes it as "partial 16S ribosomal RNA". It matches the Rfam family "Bacterial small subunit ribosomal RNA", at positions 26 to 285 of the family's 1533-position model. The record is from RNAcentral.
AGAAUCAACGCUGGCGGCGUGCCUAACACAUGCAAGUCGAACGCGAGAGUCCCGCAAGGGACAAUUGAGUGGCAAACGGGUGAGUAACACGUGGGUGACCUGCCUUCGAGUGGGGGAUAACGUUCCGAAAGGAACGCUAAUACCGCAUGACAUCCUGCUCUUGGAAGAGCGGAGAUCAAAGCUGGGGAUCGCAAGACCUGGCGCUUGAAGAGGGGCCCGCGCCUGAUUAGCUAGUUGGUGGGGUAACGGCCUACCAAGGCGACGAUCAGUA